CUUAUUUCUAAAUAUUCAAUAUUUCAGAAUAUGAAAAAAAGUUGUGUGAUCUUCAAGCCAUGAGUACACCACCACUAUGCACCUUGCAGCAGGAAACACAGGCACAUGUUUAUUGUGGAUUUUCGAAGACAAGCAUUCAGUAAGAGUUUGUUAUUGUAUGAAGCAGAUAAACAAUCGGAUGUCCAUUCAGAUUUGUUGGAAGCUUGGAUAACUGAAGCUGUAAAGAUGGUUGAGUAAAGAAAUGCAUUGUGGGAAAUCAGGACUGAUUAGUUUGAACCCUGGUAACUGAAUCUUAGCAACAUGAGACUGAGAUAAAGCGUGGAAGUCAAAUUUUAACAUAAAGAAAUGAAGUAAUGAACUUUGAGAAACUGACUAAUUUGUUUGAAUUAUGUAGUGUACAGUAUACUGGUACUUGAAGCUUAGUGAGCUCUGAUGUAUGGACAUGAAGCAGAUAAAUUGUGGAAAGUCUAAACCACAACAGGCAUUUGUUGUGCAUUCAUAAAUGAAUGAUUAUGAAUUGAAGUACUGUUUGCCAAGUGAAGUUUGUGAUUUAGUAAGUAAAAUAAGUGUUGACCUUUAAAAAUGCUGAAAUUUUUGACUGAUUCUGGACCUAGUUAAAAAUAGAAUGUUGGCCCG
Anneissia japonica is the source of this 636-nucleotide long non-coding RNA. RefSeq lists it as uncharacterized. Lineage: Eukaryota; Metazoa; Echinodermata; Crinoidea; Comatulida; Comatulidae. The transcript has 2 exons. The record is from RefSeq and is a predicted model, not a curated record.